Molecule: ribosomal RNA, 374 nt
Filed under: uncultured bacterium
Lineage: Bacteria
Description: bacterial SSU rRNA
Rfam family: Bacterial small subunit ribosomal RNA
Source: RNAcentral
UUACCACCUUGACAUGACAGAGAUUCUUAGAACAGGUGCUGCAUGGCUGUCGUCAGCUCGUGUCGUGAGAUGUUCGGUUAAGUCCGGCAACGAGCGCAACCCCACUUUAGUUGCCAGCAUGUGGGACUCUAAAGAAACGCCCGUGAUAACGGGAGGAAGGUGUGGAUGACGUCAAGUCCUCAUGGCCCUUACGGUGGGCUACACACGUGCUACAAUGGAGUACAGGGGAUCCCCAAACUGUCUCAGUUCGGAUUGGGGUCUGCAACUCGACCCCAUGAAGUCGGAAUCGCUAGUAUCGCAAACAGCAUGUGCGGUGAAUACGUUCCCGGGCCUUGUACACACCGCCCGUCACACCAUGGGAGUUGGUCACCGAC